This 601-nucleotide unclassified non-coding RNA is filed under the name Cissus microcarpa. Its description in RNAcentral is "partial external transcribed spacer". Lineage: Eukaryota; Viridiplantae; Streptophyta; Magnoliopsida; Vitales; Vitaceae. The record is from RNAcentral.
CUUCCUUCUUUCCAUGCCUAAAUUGGCCCCGUGGAAGGCCUCACUCGUUGCCUCCGUGUGCUCAUGAGGAGAUGUCUCCGAACGAGUCGCGGUUCGAUGUGUGUGGUCAUAUCAUGGUGAGCCUGAUGGCAUGUGAGUGGUGUUUGGGUUGCGUGGGUUGAUAGGCUCCUUGCUCGUGCGACGAACUAUAGCCCCCUUCCGCAUUUCAUGAUCUGCCCCAAGCGCUCCAUCGAGAGGCCUGGGCAUCGUGAAAGUUGGGUUCCUGUGUUGCGUUCCUACUGUGAUGGAAUCGUCCCCUUGAAGUUGCCUUUCCCCCGCCUUGCCUUGCGAUCGCAAUGCGGGCGGGACUCGGUAGCGGUCAUCGUGGUCCUCGGUCGCCCUGAACAUGCGAGCAUGGGAGGCGGCGUGCCGUGGCCCAAGAUGUCCGUCGGUGCUCUCGGAUGCGGAACGUUUAGCCGGGCGAGUUGGGUCUCCAACGGAAGCUCGAACCAAGCGUUAUUCGCUGCUGUGAACGACAGCGGUCAUCACCUUGCCCUCACGUCGCCCUGCACCGUCGGGGCCUCGGCGAGGCGCAUGCGGUGCCGCCGUCGCACGAGGAUGC